GCCUCGUUCGUCUAGUGGCAGGACGGUGGAUUUUCAGUCCGCAGACGGGAGUUCGAUUCUCCCACGAGGUG
This 71-nucleotide transfer RNA is filed under the name Mariniblastus sp. RNAcentral's name for it is "tRNA-Glu". It matches the Rfam family "tRNA". Rfam says of the family: Transfer RNA (tRNA) molecules are approximately 80 nucleotides in length. Their secondary structure includes four short double-helical elements and three loops (D, anti-codon, and T loops). Lineage: Bacteria; Pseudomonadati; Planctomycetota; Planctomycetia; Pirellulales; Pirellulaceae. The record is from RNAcentral.